Molecule: ribosomal RNA, 522 nt
Filed under: Pleosporales sp. HKB26
Lineage: Eukaryota; Fungi; Ascomycota; Dothideomycetes; Pleosporales
Description: eukaryotic LSU rRNA
Rfam family: 5.8S ribosomal RNA (bases 191-344)
Source: RNAcentral
UUCAACGGUGUGGUCGCGGCCCCCGGGGGCUCCCCCCGGGCGGUAGAGGUAACACUCUUACGCGCCACAUGUCUGAAUCCUUUUUUUACGAGCACCUUUCGUUCUCCUUCGGUGGGGCAACCUGCCGUUGGAACUUAUCAAAACCUUUUUUGCAUCUAGCAUUACCUGUUCAGAUACAAACAAUCGUUACAACUUUCAACAAUGGAUCUCUUGGCUCUGGCAUCGAUGAAGAACGCAGCGAAAUGCGAUAAGUAGUGUGAAUUGCAGAAUUCAGUGAAUCAUCGAAUCUUUGAACGCACAUUGCGCCCCUUGGUAUUCCAUGGGGCAUGACUGUUCGAGCGUCAUCUACACCCUCAAGCUCUGCUUGGUGUUGGGCGUCUGUCCCGCCUCUGCGCGUGGACUCUCCCCAAAUUCAUUGGCAGCGGUCUUUGCCUCCUCUCGCGCAGCAAAUUGCGCUUUAAAGGGGUGUGGGCCAAGUCAAAAAAAGCAACAUUAUCGUCUUUGACCUCCGAUCAGGUAAGG